RNAcentral lists this long non-coding RNA (506 nucleotides) under Lathyrus oleraceus (garden pea). RNAcentral's name for it is "Pisum sativum (pea) long non-coding RNA (PSAT_LNC021584)". Lineage: Eukaryota; Viridiplantae; Streptophyta; Magnoliopsida; Fabales; Fabaceae. The record is from RNAcentral.
UUGGAUCUACCACGUCAAUUAAUGAGGCGUGAUCCAACGCUUCUGGUUUUUUCUGAUUUUAAUUAUUUUUCUUUUAUUUAUUUAAAUUGCUUUUUCUUUAAAAAUUCUUAGUAAUUUCAUUUUUUAUCCAAAAAAUCUCAAAAUAAUUUCUAAAAUUCUCUUUUAUUUUUCUUCAUCUGAUUUUUAUUUUUCAACAUUUUAUUUCACUGGUUUUAUAUUUUUCAUGAAUUUUCUCUUUUCUCUUUUGUUUUAAUUGGGUAAAAAAUACUUUUAUGCAUUUUAAAAUUCUAAAAUUUUUAUUACAUGUUUCUCAUUUUAUUUCUAACCUCCCCUAAUUUUCUUGCCCAUUUAUUUGGUGUUUUCAAGGACUUUGUGAAUUUUCCAUUCUGUUCCCACUUUAAAAAUCAUUUAAAAAUACCUUUAAUACAUUUUUGUUUCAUUUAAUUUCAUUUUUUAAAAUUGUUUGACCUUGUGGACUUUUUUUGGUCUUGGAUCAUGAUGAGUUU